This 253-nucleotide ribosomal RNA is filed under the name uncultured bacterium. RNAcentral describes it as "partial 16S ribosomal RNA". It matches the Rfam family "Bacterial small subunit ribosomal RNA", at positions 524 to 776 of the family's 1533-position model. The record is from RNAcentral.
UACGUAGGGGGCAAGCGUUGUCCGGAUUUAUUGGGCGUAAAGAGCGUGUAGGCGGCCUGUCAGGUCUGCUGUGAAAACUCGAGGCUCAACCUCGAGAUGUCGGCGGAAACCGUCUGGCUAGAGUCCGGAAGAGGAGAGUGGAAUUCCUGGUGUAGCGGUGAAAUGCGCAGAUAUCAGGAAGAACACCGAUGGCGAAGGCAGCUCUCUGGGACGGUACUGACGCUGAGACGCGAAAGCGUGGGGAGCGAACAGG